This 708-nucleotide long non-coding RNA is filed under the name Ananas comosus (pineapple). Its description in RNAcentral is "long non-coding RNA (ACOM_LNC004446)". The record is from RNAcentral. Lineage: Eukaryota; Viridiplantae; Streptophyta; Magnoliopsida; Poales; Bromeliaceae.
CCUAUUUCAGCUAACAAUCCUACCUCCCAACACAUGUCCUUGUGUGGGAAUCGAUGCAUAUUGCUUAUGAGCCUAACUGCGACGCGGCCCAACCAAGCCUCCGCCAUUGUUGGACCUAUUUCAACCAACACUUUGGUUCUCAAAUUUUAAUUUAUUGUAUUUCAUGUCUCAAACUUUUUGAAUCGUUGCAAUUAUAUCUUACAAUCUAAUUUAUUUGGCUAAAUUUUGACAAAUUAUUAAUAUAGAAAUAAUAUAACAUAUUAAUUAUGGCUAGGAUUAUUAUACCCUUAUGAGUAUUGACCCUUUUGUGUUCAUAAAUUUUCGAUUAUUGGAUGAAGGGAUGUGUAGUUAGGAUGAUAAUGAUCCCCGGUUAAAUGAUAGUGGUCCAUUAGGAUUGAGUGAGUAGUUGGUUGAAUAAUAUGAUCUAACAUGUGGAAAUGAUCAAAGGGUAGAUCUAACCGUCGAAAAUUUAUGAGUAUAAAAGAGUGUAUAUUCAUUAGAGUAUAGUAACUAGACUCAUUUAUUAUUAUUGCAUCAUCAAUCACAAUACUUCCACAUUAUUUAAACAUCAAUAAUUUGUUAACAUUUAGCCAACUAAAUUGGAUUGUAAAAUUUGAUUGCAAUAAUUCAGAAAGCCCGAGUCAGAAAUUGCAAUAAUUAAAAUUUAAUGACCAAAGUAUCAAACAUCUCAUAGUUUGAGGACCAAAA